RNAcentral lists this ribosomal RNA (457 nucleotides) under uncultured bacterium. RNAcentral describes it as "bacterial SSU rRNA". It matches the Rfam family "Bacterial small subunit ribosomal RNA", at positions 340 to 786 of the family's 1533-position model. The record is from RNAcentral.
UACGGAAGGCAGCAGUGGGGAAUAUUGCACCAAUGGGCGCAAGCCUAGAUGCAGGCCAGUGCCGCGUGUAUGAAGAAGGCCUUCGGGUUGUAAAGUACUUUCAGUCGUGAGGAAGGUGUUAAGGUUAAUAACCUUAGCAAUUGACGUUAGCGACAGAAGAAGCACCGGCUAACUCCGUGCCAGCAGCCGCGGUAAUACGGAGGGUGCGAGCGUUAAUCGGAAUUACUGGGCGUAAAGGGCACGCAGGCGGUUAAUUAAGUUGGAUGUGAAAUCCCCGGGCUUAACCUGGGAAUGGCAUUCAAGACUGGUUAGCUAGAGUCUUGUAGAGGGGGUAGAAUUCCAUGUGUAGCGGUGAAAUGCGUAGAGAUGUGGAGGAAUACCGGUGGCGAAGGCGGCCCCUGGACAAAGACUGACGCUCAUGUGCGAAAGCGUGGGGAGCAAACAGGGAUUAGAUACC